GUGAAGAACGUAGCGAAAUGCGAUAAGUAAUGCGAAUUGCAGAAUUCAGUGAAUCAUCGAAUCUUUGAACGCACAUUGCGCCCGCUAGUAUUCUGGCGGGCAUGCCUGUCUGAGCGUCAUUUCAACCCUCGCCCCCGGCUUUUGCUGGGAGCGGUGUUGGGGAUCGGCCGCCCGUCACUGGGAGGCCGGCCCCGAAAUAGAGUGGCGACCACGCCGUGUGCUCCUCUGCGUAGUAGUAAAUCACCUCGCAGGCGGACAGCGGUGCGGCCUGCCGUAAAACCCCCAACUCUUUCUGGUUGACCUCAGAUCAGGUAGGAAUACCCGCUGAACUUAAGCAUAUCAAUAAGCGGAGA
Molecule: unclassified non-coding RNA, 353 nt
Filed under: soil metagenome
Description: partial contains 5.8S ribosomal RNA, internal transcribed spacer 2, and large subunit ribosomal RNA
Rfam family: 5.8S ribosomal RNA (bases 2-119)
Source: RNAcentral